This 380-nucleotide ribosomal RNA is filed under the name uncultured eukaryote. RNAcentral describes it as "partial 18S ribosomal RNA". It matches the Rfam family "Eukaryotic small subunit ribosomal RNA", at positions 592 to 976 of the family's 1831-position model. The record is from RNAcentral.
CAAUAGCGUAUAUUAAAGUUGUUGCGGUUAAAAAGCUCGUAGUUGGAUUUCUGCCGAGGACGACCGGUCCGCCCUCUGGGUGAGUAUCUGGCUCGGCCUGGGCAUCUUCUUGGAGAACGUAGCUGCACUUGACUGUGUGGUGCGGUAUCCAGGACUUUUACUUUGAGGAAAUUAGAGUGUUUCAAGCAGGCUUACGCCUUGAAUACAUUAGCAUGGAAUAAUAAGAUAGGACCUCGGUUCUAUUUUGUUGGUUUCUAGAGCUGAGGUAAUGAUUAAUAGGGAUAGUUGGGGGCAUUCGUAUUUAACUGUCAGAGGUGAAAUUCUUGGAUUUACGCAAGACAAACAGCUGCGAAAGCGUCUGCCAAGGAUGUUUUCAUUAA